CGCAACUUCAUUGUCCGACUGCAACUGAAUGCACCAAUGACGUUAGUUUGAUUUCUGGAUUGUAUUUCGUUUGGAUUUGAAGAAGCUUUGAAGACGUUUCCUGAUGCCGGAGGAGAAGACGAGCAGCUUUGUACCUUUGCGAGUGAAAGUAGCAGUUCCUCCUGAAGGUCAGAGAUUGCAGCAUCUGAGGGCCUCUUCAAAAGAAGAUGUAGUUGAUGAAGGCGUUCUGGAGCAGGACCAGAAAGACCACGACCAAGCAGCCUUGAGAUCUUAGGCAGCGUCUCCCUCAGGUCCCUCUCUAUCUCCCCACACAUCCACCAACCACUGGAACACAUCUCCAAAGUUCUGCUGGACCAGCUCAGCUUCCCCUCAGAAGAAGUGCUGCCACCUGCCAGAUGAAGGAUCCUUUUGAGAGGCAGCUGGCAUCGUGAUUGGACUGUACUUUGGUCUGUUCCAAUCCAGCUUCAGCUCCAGAGACGGCAGGCGGGACGAGUCAACGGAGGCCUGAUGGACGAAGGCAUGAAGCUGAGUACAAUCUAGAAAACAACAGAGGAGGAGUGCAGCAGCCCAGAGCCAGAACAAACAGAGUAGCAUCGUAUGUCUCUUAGAAAACAUCAUAGUAUAACCUUUGGUAUGAAAAAACACCAUCAUAUACAUCGUAGAUUGUACAAAUAAGUCAAAGGAAAGAGACAUACAUUGUAGAAUUGUAGUAAUUGUGGGCUGACUGAUUUACUGAUGAUCAGUAUUAUAUUUUUUACUGGUUUAUGGUAAUAAAUACAUUUAAGAAUGGUG
This is a long non-coding RNA of Amphiprion ocellaris (clown anemonefish), 792 nucleotides long. RefSeq lists it as uncharacterized. Lineage: Eukaryota; Metazoa; Chordata; Actinopteri; Pomacentridae. The transcript is spliced from 3 exons. The record is from RefSeq and is a predicted model, not a curated record.